This 637-nucleotide ribosomal RNA is filed under the name Limosilactobacillus fermentum. Its description in RNAcentral is "bacterial SSU rRNA". It matches the Rfam family "Bacterial small subunit ribosomal RNA", at positions 215 to 843 of the family's 1533-position model. Lineage: Bacteria; Bacillati; Bacillota; Bacilli; Lactobacillales; Lactobacillaceae. The record is from RNAcentral.
UCACUUCUGGAUGGACCUGCGGUGCAUUAGCUUGUUGGUGGGGUAACGGCCUACCAAGGCGAUGAUGCAUAGCCGAGUUGAGAGACUGAUCGGCCACAAUGGGACUGAGACACGGCCCAUACUCCUACGGGAGGCAGCAGUAGGGAAUCUUCCACAAUGGGCGCAAGCCUGAUGGAGCAACACCGCGUGAGUGAAGAAGGGUUUCGGCUCGUAAAGCUCUGUUGUUAAAGAAGAACACGUAUGAGAGUAACUGUUCAUACGUUGACGGUAUUUAACCAGAAAGUCACGGCUAACUACGUGCCAGCAGCCGCGGUAAUACGUAGGUGGCAAGCGUUAUCCGGAUUUAUUGGGCGUAAAGAGAGUGCAGGCGGUUUUCUAAGUCUGAUGUGAAAGCCUUCGGCUUAACCGGAGAAGUGCAUCGGAAACUGGAUAACUUGAGUGCAGAAGAGGGUAGUGGAACUCCAUGUGUAGCGGUGGAAUGCGUAGAUAUAUGGAAGAACACCAGUGGCGAAGGCGGCUACCUGGUCUGCAACUGACGCUGAGACUCGAAAGCAUGGGUAGCGAACAGGAUUAGAUACCCUGGUAGUCCAUGCCGUAAACGAUGAGUGCUAGGUGUUGGAGGGUUUCCGCCCUUCAG